This 330-nucleotide ribosomal RNA is filed under the name uncultured Coriobacteriales bacterium. RNAcentral describes it as "partial 16S ribosomal RNA". Lineage: Bacteria; Bacillati; Actinomycetota; Coriobacteriia; Coriobacteriales. The record is from RNAcentral.
GGAGUUUGGUCCGUGUCUCAGUACCAAUGUGGGGGACCUUCCUCUCAGGUCGGCUACCGAUCGUCGACUUGGUGGGCCGUUACCUCACCAACUAUCUAAUCGGACGCGAGCCCACCCUUCACCGGAUUGCUCCUUUGACCCCUUCGCCAUGUGACGUUGUGGUCUUAUGCGGUAUUAGAACACCUUUCGGUAUCUUAUCCCCCUGUGAAGGACAGGUUGCUCACGCGUUACUCACCCGUCCGCCGCUAAAACAUAUAUCUUCCGGCCGAAGCCUUCCGUUACAUGUCUCCGCUCGACUUGCAUGUGUUAAGCCUGCCGCUAGCGUUCAUC